CGGCUCUGAUACCAAUUGUAGAAGCGUGAUUUUCUCAGAUACCAAUUGUUGGGACUGGUAUUUAUACCGAUACCGAUUAUAUAACCCAAGGUCUAAAAUAGAACAAAAUAAUAUAGAAAAGAGAGAUUGGAGGAGAAAGAAUUAAGAUAACUAAAAUAAUAAGCAAUUAAUUACAUUCGGGACGACAUCCUUGGCCAUGUCUAUUAUGGCUUAUUCAUCUAAUUAAUCCAUGCUAACUAUAUAUAGCCAUCAAAUCAUAACAGAUGAGUUAUUCAACUUUUACUUU
RNAcentral lists this long non-coding RNA (286 nucleotides) under Ananas comosus (pineapple). RNAcentral's name for it is "long non-coding RNA (ACOM_LNC000261)". The record is from RNAcentral. Lineage: Eukaryota; Viridiplantae; Streptophyta; Magnoliopsida; Poales; Bromeliaceae.